Molecule: ribosomal RNA, 336 nt
Filed under: Prosopium williamsoni (mountain whitefish)
Lineage: Eukaryota; Metazoa; Chordata; Actinopteri; Salmoniformes; Salmonidae
Description: partial 12S ribosomal RNA
Rfam family: Bacterial small subunit ribosomal RNA
Source: RNAcentral
AAACUUUGAUGGAAACAUACAACUAACAUCCGCCAGGGAACUACAAGCGCCAGCUUAAAACCCAAAGGACUUGGCGGUGCCUCAGACCCACCUAGAGGAGCCUGUUCUAGAACCGAUAACCCCCGUUCAACCUCACCACCUCUUGUUUUCCCCGCCUAUAUACCACCGUCGUCAGCUUACCCUGUGAAGGAUUUAUAGUAAGCAAAAUGGGCAAGACCCAAAACGUCAGGUCGAGGUGUAGCGCAUGGGGUGGGAAGAAAUGGGCUACAUUCUCUAAAUUAGAGCNCUACGAACCNCGCUGUGAAACCAGCGUCCGAAGGUGGAUUUAGCAGUAAA